RNAcentral lists this ribosomal RNA (1815 nucleotides) under Rhipicephalus microplus (southern cattle tick). RNAcentral describes it as "SSU rRNA". It matches the Rfam family "Eukaryotic small subunit ribosomal RNA". Lineage: Eukaryota; Metazoa; Arthropoda; Arachnida; Ixodida; Ixodidae. The record is from RNAcentral.
CCUGGUUGAUCCUGCCAGUAAUCAUAUGCUUGUCUCAAAGAUUAAGCCAUGCAUGUCUAAGUACAUGCCGAAAUAAGGCGAAACCGCGAAUGGCUCAUUAAAUCAGUUAUGGUUCCUUAUCUCGUUUCUUCCUACUUGGAUAACUGUGGCAAUUCUAGAGCUAAUACAUGCAGUGAGCCUGGAGCCCUUUGGGUAACGGGUGCUUUUAUUAGACCAAGAUCGAUCGGGUUUCGGCCCGUAUUGUGUGGUGACUCUGGAUAACUUUGUGCUGAUCGCAUGGCCACGAGCCGGCGACGUUUCUUUCAAGUGUCUGCCUUAUCAACUUUCGAUGGUAGGUUACUUGCUUACCAUGGUUGUUACGGGUAACGGAGAAUCAGGGUUCGAUUCCGGAGAGGGAGCCUGAGAAACGGCUACCACAUCCAAGGAAGGCAGCAGGCGCGCAAAUUACCCACUCCCGGCACGGGGAGGUAGUGACGAAAAAUAACAAUACGGGACUCUUUUGAGGCCCCGUAAUUGAAAUGAGUACACUCUAAAUCCUUUAACGAGGAUCAAUUGGAGGGCAAGUCUGGUGCCAGCAGCCGCGGUAAUUCCAGCUCCAAUAGCGUAUACUAAAGCUGCUGCGGUUAAAAAGCUCGUAGUUGGAUCUCAGUUCCAGACGAGUAGUGCAUCUACCCGAUGCGACGGCUCGGACUGAACAUCAUGCCGGUUCUUUCUUGGUGCACUUCAUUGUGUGCCUCGAGAUGGCCGGUGCUUUUACUUUGAAAAAAUUAGAGUGCUCAACGCAGGCGAGUCGCCUGAAUAAACUUGCAUGGAAUAAUAGAACAAGACCUCGUUUCUGUUCUGUUGGUUUUUGGAAUACGAGGUAAUGAUUAAGAGGGACGGACGGGGGCAUUCGUAUUGCGGCGCUAGAGGUGAAAUUCUUGGACCGUCGCAAGACGAACUACUGCGAAAGCAUUUGCCAAGAAUGUUUUCAUUGAUCAAGAACGAAAGUCAGAGGUUCGAAGGCGAUCAGAUACCGCCCUAGUUCUGACCAUAAACGAUGCCAACCAGCGAUCCGCCUGAGUUACUCAAAUGACUCGGCGGGCAGCUUCCGGGAAACCGCCAGUAUUUGGGUUGGGUUCCGGGGGAAGUAUGGUUGCAAAGCUGAAACUUAAAGGAAUUGACGGAAGGGCACCACCAGGAGUGGAGCCUGCGGCUUAAUUUGACUCAACACGGGAAAACUUACCCGGCCCGGACACUGGGAGGAUUGACAGAUUGAGAGCUCUUUCUUGAUUCGGUGGAUGGUGGUGCAUGGCCGUUCUUAGUUGGUGGAGCGAUUUGUCUGGUUAAUUCCGAUAACGAACGAGACUCUAGCCUAUUAAAUAGGUGCGGGGUUCCCUUCCCAGACCUUACAACCUUCUUACAGGGACAAGCGGCUCCUAGCCGCACGAAACAGAGCAAUAACAGGUCUGUGAUGCCCUUAGAUGUCCGGGGCCGCACGCGCGCUACACUGAAGGAAGCAGCGUGUCUUUAUCCCUGUCUGAAAAGACUGGGUAACCCGUGGAACUUCUUUCGUGAUUGGGAUAGGGGCUUGCAAUUGUUCCCCUUGAACGAGGAAUUCCCAGUAAGCGCGAGUCAUAAGCUCGCGUUGAUUACGUCCCUGCCCUUUGUACACACCGCCCGUCGCUACUACCGAUUGAAUGAUUUAGUGAGGUCUUCGGACCGAUGUCCGGCGCGGCCUUUCGGUUGCGCCGGUCUGUUGGAAAGAUGACCAAACUUGAUCAUUUAGAGGAAGUAAAAGUCGUAACAAGGUUUCCGUAGGUGAACCUGCGGAAG